This 253-nucleotide ribosomal RNA is filed under the name uncultured bacterium. RNAcentral describes it as "partial 16S ribosomal RNA". It matches the Rfam family "Bacterial small subunit ribosomal RNA", at positions 524 to 776 of the family's 1533-position model. The record is from RNAcentral.
GACGAAGGGGGCAAGCGUUGUUCGGAAUUACUGGGCGUAAAGGGCGCGUAGGCGGCUCUGUAAGUCAGGCGUGAAAGCCCUGGGCUCAACCUGGGAGUGGCGCUUGAUACUGUGGGGCUAGAGAGCGGGAGAGGAUGGUGGAAUUCCCAGCGUAGAGGUGAAAUUCGUAGAUAUUGGGAAGAACACCGGUGGCGAAGGCGGCCAUCUGGACCGUAUCUGACGCUGAGGCGCGAAAGCGUGGGGAGCAAACGGG